Molecule: ribosomal RNA, 406 nt
Filed under: uncultured bacterium
Lineage: Bacteria
Description: bacterial SSU rRNA
Rfam family: Bacterial small subunit ribosomal RNA
Source: RNAcentral
AUUGAACGCUGGCGGCAUGCCUAACACAUGCAAGUCGAACGGUAACAGGCCCUUCGGGUGCUGACGAGUGGCGGAUGGGUGAGUAAUACUUAGGAAUCUACCCUGUAGUGGGGGACAACCCGGGGAAACUCGGGCUAAUACCGCAUACGCUCUACGGAGGAAAGCGGGGGACCGCAAGGCCUCGCGCUAUUGGAUGAGCCUAAGCCCGAUUAGCUAGUUGGUGGGGUAAUAGCCUACCAAGGCAAUGAUCGGUAGCUGGUCUGAGAGGACGACCAGCCACACUGGGACUGAGACACGGCCCAGACUCCUACGGGAGGCAGCAGUGGGGAAUAUUGGACAAUGGGCGAAAGCCUGAUCCAGCGAUGCCGCGUGUGUGAAGAAGGCCUGCGGGUUGUAAAGCACUUUC